Molecule: ribosomal RNA, 233 nt
Filed under: Croceibacter atlanticus
Lineage: Bacteria; Pseudomonadati; Bacteroidota; Flavobacteriia; Flavobacteriales; Flavobacteriaceae
Description: partial 23S ribosomal RNA
Rfam family: Bacterial large subunit ribosomal RNA
Source: RNAcentral
CUUUUAGAUGACGAAGUGGUUGAUGCCAUGCUUCCAAGAAAAGCUUCUAAGCUUCAGGUAACCAGGAACCGUACCCCAAACCGACACAGGUGGUUGGGUAGAGAAUACCAAGGCGCUUGAGAGAACUCGGGUGAAGGAACUAGGCAAAAUGGCACCGUAACUUCGGGAGAAGGUGCGCCGGUGAGGGUGAAGGACUUGCUCCGUAAGCUCAUGCCGGUCGAAGAUACCAGGCC